RNAcentral lists this ribosomal RNA (218 nucleotides) under Thrichomys apereoides (common punare). Its description in RNAcentral is "partial small subunit ribosomal RNA". The record is from RNAcentral. Lineage: Eukaryota; Metazoa; Chordata; Mammalia; Rodentia; Echimyidae.
UCCCAAACUGGGAUUAGAUACCCCACUAUGCUUAGCCGUAAACACAAACAUUCCACAACAAAAAUAUUCGCCAGAGUACUACUAGCAACAGCUUAAAACUCAAAGGACUUGGCGGUGCUUUAAACCCACCUAGAGGAGCCUGUUCUAUAAAUCGAUGAACCCCGCUAAACCUCACCACUUCUCGCUAAACCAGUCUAUAUACCGCCAUCUUCAGCAAA